ACUCAAAGGAAUUGACGGGGACCCGCACAAGCGGUGGAGCAUGUGGUUUAAUUCGACGCAACGCGAAGAACCUUACCUGGGCUAGAAUGCCUCUGACAACCCUGGAGACAGGGCCUCUUUGGGAAACCAAAGCAGAGUGCAAGGUGCUGCAUGGCUGUCGUCAGCUCGUGUCGUGAGAUGUUGGGUUAAGUCCCGCAACGAGCGCAACCCUUGUCGGUAGUUACUAACGGAUUAUGCCGAGGACUCUACCGAGACUGCCGUUGAUAAAACGGAGGAAGGUGGGGAUGACGUCAAGUCCUCAUGGCCUUUAUGUCCAGGGCUACACACGUGCUACAAUGGCAGGCACAAAACGCUGCGAACCCGCGAGGGGGAGCCAAUCGUCAAAAGCCUGUCUCAGUUCGGAUCGCAGUCUGCAACUCGACUGCGUGAAGCUGGAAUCGCUAGUAAUCGCGGAUCAGCACGCCGCGGUGAAUACGUUCCCGGGUCUUGCACACACCGCCCGU
Molecule: ribosomal RNA, 503 nt
Filed under: uncultured bacterium
Lineage: Bacteria
Description: partial 16S ribosomal RNA
Rfam family: Bacterial small subunit ribosomal RNA
Source: RNAcentral